Molecule: long non-coding RNA, 479 nt
Filed under: Ricinus communis (castor bean)
Lineage: Eukaryota; Viridiplantae; Streptophyta; Magnoliopsida; Malpighiales; Euphorbiaceae
Description: long non-coding RNA (RCOM_LNC001178)
Source: RNAcentral
AUAAUUUAGAAAGAAAAUACAUUUAAAGACUUAUGGGACAAGUGGCAAAGUAGAACCCUAAUCUAAAAUGCUAGUAGCCUUUCGGCUCUCUUAUUCCAAUAGGUCUGGUGCCCGGAGAGCGAAGCUCAACUAUGGUCCUUACAUCCAGCCUGGAUACUUGAUUCCCAAUUAAGCCGGCGCCUAGAGAGCAUUGCUCGACCAGGGACCUUUCUCCGACAGUCAAGCUUUCAUAGCCCAGAGAGUUAUACUCGACCGGGAUAAAAUCCAAAAAUAACCUUUAUUACCUGCCUCUGAUUAUUACCAGUGUGCACGCCGUCCUUAUGUAACUCAUCAGGUGGCAUGUUCUACUGUCGCCUCAUCCGAAUGUCACAUUCACUACAUUUAUAAAAAUCAUAAAUAGAAUAAUCACAGACCAACAUAAUUUAUUCAAUAACAUAAUGAGAAUUAAAAAUUUAGAAAUCUUAGGAAUAGCAACAAGC